CAGUUUGACAGUUUGCUCAGUUUUUUCUCUUGCAAAGAGCGUUUUUUUUUCUUUGUCCGGAACUCGGGAUCAAAUUUUCGAAGUAAUCGUCUAGAAUCGGUUAAGAUAUUACAAUCGGAUUGUUUGCCUGGCCAUGCAGCGCAAAAAGCACCCCGGUUAGUUGGAGGUUUCAUGGCAGUGUUCAGGGCCAAGUUGCGGAUGGCAGUGUUCAAGGCCAAGUUGCGGAUAAGCUGUGGCCAUAGCUGGAAAAAGUGGAUUCCGGUGAUAACGGCAAAAGUAGCAUGGAGUGAUCCGCAGCCGCCUGGAGGCUGACAAGACCGCAUCCGAUGUCAGCCAACCAAGUGAAAAAAUAAGUGCAAAACAUCCGUGAAAAGUGUUCAAAAAAUAUUGUAGUGUUGUGAUGCUUUGUAAAUAAAAAGUUUUCAAAAAAA
Long non-coding RNA from Culex quinquefasciatus (southern house mosquito), 431 nucleotides. RefSeq lists it as uncharacterized. NCBI's taxonomy places the organism in Eukaryota, Metazoa, Arthropoda, Insecta, Diptera, Culicidae. The transcript is spliced from 2 exons. The record is from RefSeq and is a predicted model, not a curated record.